AUUGAACGCUGGCGGCAGGCCUAACACAUGCAAGUCGAACGAGUGGCGGACGGGUUAGUAAUGUCUGGGAAACUGCCUGAGGGAGGGGGUUAACUACUGGACACGGUAGCUAAUACCGCAUACCAUCGGAUGUGCCCAGAUGGGAUUAGCUAGUGGGUGGGGUAACGGCUUACCUAGGCGACGAUCCCUACCUGGUCUGAGAGGAUGACCAGCCACACUGGAACUGAGACACGGUCCAGACUCCUACGGGAGGCAGCAGUGGGGAAUAUUGCACAAUGGGCGAAAGCCUGAUACAGCCAUGCCGCGUGUAUGAAGAAGGCCUUCGGGUUGUAAAGUACUUUCAGCGGGGAGGCGUUACCCGCAGAAGAAGCACCGGCUAACUCCGUGCCAGCCGCCGCGGUAAUAC
Molecule: ribosomal RNA, 406 nt
Filed under: uncultured bacterium
Lineage: Bacteria
Description: partial 16S ribosomal RNA
Rfam family: Bacterial small subunit ribosomal RNA
Source: RNAcentral